Molecule: ribosomal RNA, 216 nt
Filed under: Cladosporium perangustum
Lineage: Eukaryota; Fungi; Ascomycota; Dothideomycetes; Cladosporiales; Cladosporiaceae
Description: partial 28S ribosomal RNA
Rfam family: Eukaryotic large subunit ribosomal RNA
Source: RNAcentral
GUUGACCUCGGAUCAGGUAGGGAUACCCGCUGAACUUAAGCAUAUCAAUAAGCGGAGGAAAAGAAACCAACAGGGAUUGCUCUAGUAACGGCGAGUGAAGCAGCAAUAGCUCAAAUUUGAAAUCUGGCGUCUUCGGCGUCCGAGUUGUAAUUUGUAGAGGAUGCUUCUGAGUAACCACCGACCUAAGUUCCUUGGAACAGGACGUCAUAGAGGGUG